UUUCAGAGAGGUCGCUUGGGUCCAUCAGAGUCUCUGCUGUCACUACCUGCAAGAGGGGACCGGAAGCCAGUGGGCAGGGGCUGAGUGCUCCCCCACAGCACCUCUCCUCUUUGAUCUCACCUGUGCUUUGAGGCCUCCUGAUUCCUCCCUGCUGGAGCCCAGAGUUCCAGAGGCACCUGAGCAGGGCAGGCUUCCAGACAGGCCAGGGCGCCCCAGCAGAGGCACCCGACGAGAUGGGGAGGGCUGGGGAGGGCAGCCUGGGGCAGGAGGGCUUGGGGGACAGGCUCACCUCCACACUGCCAGUCUGGGAUCGUAGCAUGCGGCCCACCCACGAGGAGCGGGCCAGCUGCAGGAGGCAGGACUUCUGCAAGUUCUGCAGCUCGGCCUCCAUCUCCUGGAGCGUGCGAGUGGUCUGCAGCAGCCGCUCCUCCAGGUGCUCCUUCUCCUGCUCCAAGAGGGCCCGUGGUUCGUGGUGGGGGGGGUGUCUUCUGCAGAAGGCCCCCAGGCCAGCCCCAGCCUGGCUCCCCAACACCAGGACCCUGCCCACUCCCUGUGCCCCUGCCUCACCCACUGGGCUCGCUCCUUCUGUUUCUUCAACUCCUGGGUCAGCUUCUGGACCUGGUUCUGCAGGAGUUUCUCCUGACUGUGGGAGCUCCUGGAGGAGGGGUGACCUCAGCAGCCCCCACCCUGCUCAGGCAGGGUCCCUAAUGUCAGGUCAGGGGAGAAGGAGGGGAGAAGGAGGGGCUCCACUGCCACCUUGGCCCCAAGGGCACACAGUACAGCCCCGCUGGGGCUGGCCAGCCUCCGGCUGGUCUGGGCAAGGAUCUAGAACCCAUCCACAUGCGCAAGGUUAGGGUGGAGGCUAUAGCGUGUUUACUUAGGAUCAGGGUGGAGGGUCAGCGCCGGCAAGGAUGAGGUUAAGGAUCUGCCUCAGCGGUUGGGGUUGGGGUCAGACAGAAACCAGGAGUCCGGGCGAGGACAGGGCAGGGUUGGGUUGGGCUGGGGACUGUGCUGCAGACCUCUUGGGCGGAAGCCCCGCCACCUCUUCCAGGAUGUGGCAGAGCCGGGCGUCCUCGCCAUUCUGGACGGCCCACCGCAAGGCCUGGAUCUCCAGUUCUCGCUGUCUCCACAACAGCCGCAGUGUGCGAGGGUCCAGGGACUCAAGAGCCAACCUGCAGCAGCAGCAGACCCUGCUGCUUACUCAGGCCGGGCCCUGGCCACCUGGCCCAGGAGGCUCAGCAGUCCUCCCUCUCCUCCUUACUGCGGGUCGGCAGAGCAGACCACCGGUGCGGGGUGGGGCGUGGUGUCUGGCAGGCAUGUGGGAGUCUCGGGGGCUGCAGGUGCGCCUGCUGGAGGUCCCAGGUGACCACUGACCGACUCUUGCUCUGUGGGGGACAGGAGAGCCUCUUCCUCGGUUUCUUCAAUCUCCUGGCCAGACUUGGGGGCCAUUCUCAAUGUUCUUCGGGACCUGGGAGGGGUGGGGGGCCCGUCUGCCGUGUGCGCCUCGUGUGGCCACACAGGUUGGAGCAGCCCAGGCGUCACCACUUACUCACAGAGCGUUGCUCUCUGAAGGGACCCACAUGUGGGUGUCCACACCCGUGUGUUUCUGACCAGGCUGGGGCAGCACGUCACCACCCGACAUGUCCCUGGUGUGUCCCCCUGCCACCCAGGUGCUGGCCCUUUGCCUGUGAUGUGGUGUCCCUCUUUCUCUCUCUUGUCCCCCCCAGCUCAGGACCCUACCCCCAGCACUCACCUGAGGCCCGACCUCCAAGCAGGCCUGGGAGGGAAGGGCUGUAUACCGUUGCCAUGGAUACCAGCACCCAGAAGGGGUGGGGCUGUUUGUUACCAGGAGCCUCCAGGGAGACCCCAGACCACGCCCCUGGAGACAGGGUCUUGCUCUGCUGUCCAGGCUGGAAUGCUUCGGUGUGAUGACAGCUCCCGUUAACGUCGAAUUCCUGGGCUCAAGUGAUCCUCCCACUUCCGCCUCCUGACUUGCUGAAACUACAGGCACCUGCCUCCACCGCCAGGCCCAGCCCACAGCUCCUUUGACCUCAGUGACAGGCACUCACCUACCUGACCCCCAAACUGAAGCCUCACCUUUCCCAGCCGUCUCCACACCCUCUGGGCUACCCCAUUACCAUGACAAGUAUUCCCUCUGCUCCAGGAGAAAAGCGAGGUCCCAGACCUGACCCAUAAAACCCAAUCAUUCC
This 2210-nucleotide non-coding RNA is filed under the name Pan troglodytes (chimpanzee). Lineage: Eukaryota; Metazoa; Chordata; Mammalia; Primates; Hominidae. The record is from RNAcentral.